AAGAUCCCGCCAAAGGUCUUUGUAUGCGGAGAUUCUUCUUUAUUCCUUACACAAGUUAGUUUUCUAGAUAGAGAGGACUCCAACUGCAAGAGGAAUAAACACUAGUUGAAGUUUAAUUGUUAAACUUUUUCAGUGACUGUUUAGGUUUAGCUGUUACUGUCAAGAUGAGAUUAUAUAUUAUUCCUACUUUUGCCACUGUGCUCUUGGUGAGCUUCCUUGUCUGUGUUAAUUCAGAUGAAAAUGAGACAACAGUAGGAACGACCCCCAGUACGACAGUGACGACAGUAACAACGGAGGCCCCGCAGACAACCACCACAUCUGGCGGAACCUCCACAGCCACCACCGGAUUUCUCCUAGCUCUCCUUCCCUACUUCAUCUGGGAAAUCCUACUACUUUAAAAAGCUAGAUCCGCAAACUUAACAAACAUUGCAUAACAGCAAAUUAUGAAAAUAGUUAUCACUAAUACUUUUUUUUCAAAAAUAGUGUCUUUUCUUUUCAACGUGGUUGGACCAUGUUGUUUUAAUCCUUAAAUUGAAAUUAUUUUGAUGGCAGAUUUUGUUUUAAUGCUAUUAGAUUCGAUUCCAAGACGUGUAUAUGUUUUGUUUCUGUAUAACUUAACAAUUAAAUUGUCUUCUUUAAUCCGGAAACUGUUAACUGAAAUUAAAUAAAGAUAUAAAAUAC
Molecule: long non-coding RNA, 681 nt
Organism: Saccostrea cuccullata (small rock oyster)
Lineage: Eukaryota; Metazoa; Mollusca; Bivalvia; Ostreida; Ostreidae
Exons: 3
Source: RefSeq, a predicted model, not a curated record